RNAcentral lists this non-coding RNA (780 nucleotides) under Ercheia cyllaria. The record is from RNAcentral. Lineage: Eukaryota; Metazoa; Arthropoda; Insecta; Lepidoptera; Erebidae.
UAAAAAUUUUUGUAGUUUAUAUAAUUUAUUUAAAGUUUAUUUUACAUAUAAAUUUUAGUGUUAAUUUAAGUUUAUUUUAAUAAUAAAUUUAUUAAUUUAUUAGUAAUUAAUAUUAAAUUAUUUAAGAAAUUAAUAUUUAGUAAUAUUUAAAUUAAUAACAAAUUUUGUGCCAGCAGUUGCGGUUAAACAAAGAUUAAAUUAAAUUUUAUUAGUAAAUUAAUAAAUAAAUAAUAUUUAUAAUAUAAAUUUUAAAUUAUUAAGUGAAAUUUUAAUUUAAUAAAAUAUUAUUUAAUUUUUAUGAUUUAAUAAAUUUUUAUAAAAACUAGGAUUAGAUACCCUAUUAUUAAAAUUUUAAAUUAAAAUACUAAAAUAGUAAUUAAUUAUUUAUUGAAACUUAAACAAUUUGGCGGUAUUUUAGUUCAUUUAGAGGAAUCUGUUUAAUAAUUGAUAGUCCACGAAUAAAUUUACUUAAUUUAAAAUUUUGUAUAUCGUUGUUAAAAAAAUAUUUUUUAAUGAAAAUAAUAUUUGAAAAUUAGAAAUAAAAUUAAAUCAGAUCAAGAUGCAGAUUAUAAUUAAGAAUAUAAUGGAUUACAAUAAAUUUAUUUAAAUGAAUAUUAUUUUGAAAUAAAUAAUUGAAAUUGGAUUUAAAUGUAAUUUUAUUUAGUUUAAUAAAGUGAUUAAAAAUUGAAAUAUGUACAUAUUGCCCGUCGCUUUCAUAUAAUAAUAAAUUGAAAUAAGUCGUAACAAAGUAGAGGUACUGGAAAGUGUUUCUAGAAAGAC